RNAcentral lists this ribosomal RNA (460 nucleotides) under uncultured bacterium. RNAcentral describes it as "partial 16S ribosomal RNA". It matches the Rfam family "Bacterial small subunit ribosomal RNA", at positions 338 to 795 of the family's 1533-position model. The record is from RNAcentral.
CCUACGGGGCGCAGCAGUGAGGAAUAUUGGUCAAUGGGCGCGAGCCUGAACCAGCCAAGUCGCGUGAGGGAAGACGGCCCUACGGGUUGUAAACCUCUUUUGCCGGGGAGCAACGGGCGCCACGUGUGGCGCCACUGAGAGUACCCGGAGAAAAAGCAUCGGCUAACUCCGUGCCAGCAGCCGCGGUAAUACGGAGUAUGCGAGCGUUAUCCGGAUUUCUGGGGUUUAAAGGGUGCGUAGGCGGAGCGUUAAGUCAGUGGUAAAAUUGAGGGGCUCAACCCCUUCCCGCCAUUGAAACUGGCGUUCUUGAGUGGAAGAGAAGUAUGCGGAAUGCGUGGUGUAGCGGUGAAAUGCAUAGAUAUCACGAAGAACACCGAUUGCGAAGGCAGCAUGCCGGCUUCCGACUGACGCUGAAGCACGAAAGCGUGGGGAUCGAACAGGAUUAGAUACCCCAGUAGUC